Molecule: long non-coding RNA, 1122 nt
Filed under: Apteryx haastii (Great spotted kiwi)
Lineage: Eukaryota; Metazoa; Chordata; Aves; Apterygiformes; Apterygidae
Description: lncRNA (ENSAHAG00000006607.1)
Source: RNAcentral
AUGAACAAAGAUCACAGCCACCACCAGCGCCCUGCUCCGGCACCAAGGCGUCAGCCCAUCUCCAAAGCCAGAUGCAAGGAGGAGCCYGGCAUUGUCUUCAGCCUCAUCAGUCUGUUCCCAGGCGGGGAGGUCUGCUGGGUCCCUCCGCACAGGUUCAUGCUGCUCUUCUCAGCUCAGGACCUGGCCCUGCCAAUCCAGCAUGGCCACCUGAAGCACUGGCCCGGGGCUCACGGGCCCCAUCCGUCUCACCCCGGGAGGUCAGCCAAAAGCUCCCGGGCUCUUCUGCAGCCUCUCCCAUUCCUCGGGGCGGAUGAGGUUUGGUGUGGUGGUGGUCUGUGGCAUCACGCUGGUGGGGGACGACAAGGGGACCGUGCCAGCACCAUCCAGCGUGUCCGCAGUGGGACGGAGCUGCAGGACAGAGGACUGAGGAGGGGGUCUUCCAUCUUCAGGGCUGCGUUUCCCAUGGAUCUCAUUUCAUCCUGCACCCCCUUGCAGAACAAAAUCCCCGGGACUGUCUGCCCUGCCGUGGCUGCGGGUCUCUGGGGUCUCCCCUUCCUUGGCUCUGGGAGAUGCUGCACGGAGGGGCCAGGCUGGGAGGGAGACCGGCUGGAAAGCAAGGGUUUGGGGCCACGAAACAUUAGCRGGUGGCUUUCCCCCUGGGGGAACAUGGAAGACUGCAGCCGGGUCGGGAGGCUGGAGGGGAGAAGGUGCAAGUCUGGAGGUGGAUGUGGAACCCAGGCCGCAGGACUCGGGAGAGUGGGGUGUCCUCACGCAGGUGCCCAGCUCACAGAGGGACAGGCUGCUUUUCCCUUGCUUUUGGCCAUCCUGACAUCUCUUCUCUUGCAGAAGAUUUGGCAACACAGUCGCUGUCUGCCCCAAAUCUCAGUAUUUUCUGAUGGGGAAGAAAACAAAGAGGUAAAAAUGCCCCCUGCUCUGCCCAUAUUCCCCAGCAGUAGUAGGUGCAAGCCCCCACACUGGGGCCAGUGCCUGGGCUGCCCAWCCAUUGUCCCUCCAGGGCAGAGCUGGAAAAAAUCCAGGUCCCAAAAGCUUCAGCUCCCUGUUCUCAUCCCUAGGCCCUUGACGUCCAGCCCCCUUCUCCUUGACCUUUAUGUGGGCACAUAG